AAAUUUCAACAUUUGAAGUGUACAUUAUCUUUGAAUGAGCAGGAUACAGUGUUUUAUCUUUAAUGUUAUUUAAAACUGGUGAUGCUCAACCACAACUUUCCACUGCGCUGAUGCUAAUCACUGAGCACUUCCGUGCUUGUUCUUUUAAGAGAGGGCUUGAUGACUAACUUGAUUAUACUAUUUAAGAUCAUUAAAAAGAGGAAUUAGGAAGCUAAUGAAAUAAUGUCUGAUUUCAACAUGUGGAAUAUACAAUCUGUAUUCUUUAUCACACUCUGCAUGUUUCUUUUCAAUGUGGCAGAUAACAAACUUGUAAAUGGGAAUUCAACCACUGGAGACAUAACAUGUAAUGUUCUUCAUCCAUUGGUGUACGCUAUCAUCUGCUUCCUCGCUGCUGUCAUUCUCAUUCUCCUAAUAAUUCUGUAUAAAAUCAUCUCCAUGCAAAAUCGCGUCAAAAAAGACAAUAUCCACAUGGCCAGCGACACAGGAGAAUCGACAUCUUUACAUAAUGCUUUGUGUACAAGUCUUGCUCCAACCUCAUGCGACGACGGAGCAGAUAAUUCAUCCUCUACUAGUUCAGGGACUCCUGAAGGCUCGGUAAGUCAUCCGAAAACCAUUAACUUUCUCCCUCACACACCUGAAAGGCAUUUGUUACUUCUUCCAGAUGCGUUACGGGCCAUUUCAAAGGUGUCGCAAUUCUUUACUCGAGGUAUUUGUUUCAUAUGGGAUUUUGUUUUUGUUUGUCAGAUUUCCAGUAGAUCUCAGCGGUACGUGAGUAUUCCAGAGUGCUCGAAAACAUCCGACUACAUCAAUGUUUCAGAAGGGGUUUCCUCUGGACGAGUGGACUUUAAGAAUAAAACAACACGCAUAGACUAUGUGAACAAUAAAGAGUCCCAAAGGAAGAAGGUCAGUGGAAAAGGUCAAGCGAGAUGUGCUGACGCUACAAGCGUUAGCAGCGACGCGAGUGACGAGUCUGCUGUCAAUUACUCCAAGGUUGUUUUUACCAAAGCGAAGAAGUAACAUGUCAUUGGUAGCUUUUGUAAAAAUGGAUCAUUUAGCUUGAAAUGAAAAUUCUGUCAUCAUUUAUUCACAUGUAUGUUAUUAUAAAAGCUGUAUGGCUUGCUUUUCUUUGUGGAGUUUUUGGGGGUUUUGCUAUAAAUUAAAUGGUCACUGCAGUGUUCAUUUAGUAUCACUGAGUAACGUUUGUAGCUCUUUAAUAUUUAGAUUUUGUUUCUAUUUUUAACUUUUGAAGUUUGGUUGUAAUUCGUUAUAUAGUUUUUAAAAAGUAUUUAUGUUUUAUUUAUACUCUAGUUUGACAUACAUACACACUGGGUAUUCAUCUUUUGUAGGGACUUCCCAUAGACGUAAUGAUUUUUAAACUGUGUAUUCUGUACUUCGUAUUCCCCAAGCCUAACCCUAAACACAAACUUCACAGAAAAUAUUCUGCAGUUUUACAUUUUCAAAAUACUACAUUAUAUCAAGAUUUAUGAGUUGUUUCCCUCAUGGGAAAAAUAUUAAAUAAAUAAACAGUCACCUAAGUUCAAAAAUGCUAUUGCUACUUGGUGCCCACAUGAUAAAUACCAGGAUCACACACAGUUGUUCAUCUGUCAUAUAAACUAAAGAAAAUGAAUGUUUUUUUUUUUUUUAGAAAAGGGCUGAAAAAAAUGUGUUUAAUUAAAAUAAUAACAAUUAUUGUACUUUUAUUGUCUUAUUAAUCAUUAACAGCUCUCUCUUACAGAGACAUAGGCCUGUAUUUUUAAUAUAGCUAUCAUUUUCAUAUAAUAUUCACUCUGAAAAAAGUACUGAGCUCUCAACUACUCAAGAUGUAUUAUGCAUAUGCACAAUAAUCAUUUAAGGAAAGGAAUUGCAUUUGGUUAUGCUUACACUUUAAAACCCAACAGUCAACUUUAUCAAAUAAAAUGACAGGAGUUAACUUAAAAUAUACUGAAAGUAAUUUUCUACUCAUUUGAAAAGAGUUUUGAACUCAGUGUUGAAAGUAAUGAGUUAAUUAAAUACCUCAUUAACUCAACUUAAAUUGAGUAAGUUCACAGGACUCAUAUGGAUUAGUUUUUUUUAACUCAAACGGUUUGUGCAAUC
RNAcentral lists this long non-coding RNA (2094 nucleotides) under Danio rerio (zebrafish). RNAcentral describes it as "lncRNA (ENSDARG00000117276.1)". The record is from RNAcentral. Lineage: Eukaryota; Metazoa; Chordata; Actinopteri; Cypriniformes; Danionidae.